This is a small nucleolar RNA of Cavia porcellus (domestic guinea pig), 66 nucleotides long. It matches the Rfam family "Small nucleolar RNA SNORD49". Rfam says of the family: U49 belongs to the C/D class of snoRNA which contain the C (UGAUGA) and D (CUGA) box motifs. Most of the members of the box C/D family function in directing site-specific 2'-O-methylation of substrate RNAs. The record is from Rfam. NCBI's taxonomy places the organism in Eukaryota, Metazoa, Chordata, Mammalia, Rodentia, Caviidae.
UGCUCUGAUGAUACCACUUAUUAGGAAGUGCCAUCAGAAGCGAUAGAUAACUACUCCUGGCUGACC